ACGCGUGGAACCUUACCAGGUCUUGACAUCUCCUGACAAUCCUAGAGAUAGGACGUUCCCCUUCGGGGGACAGGAUGACAGGUGGUGCAUGGUUGUCGUCAGCUCGUGUCGUGAGAUGUUGGGUUAAGUCCCGCAACGAGCGCAACCCUUGAUCUUAGUUGCCAGCAUUUAGUUGGGCACUCUAAGGUGACUGCCGGUGACAAACCGGAGGAAGGUGGGGAUGACGUCAAAUCAUCAUGCCCCUUAUGACCUGGGCUACACACGUGCUACAAUGGAUGGUACAAAGGGCAGCAAAACCGCGAGGUCGAGCCAAUCCCAUAAAACCAUUCUCAGUUCGGAUUGUAGGCUGCAACUCGCCUACAUGAAGCCGGAAUCGCUAGUAAUCGCGGAUCAGCAUGCCGCGGUGAAUACGUUCCCGGGCCUUGCACACACCGCCCGU
This 439-nucleotide ribosomal RNA is filed under the name uncultured bacterium. RNAcentral describes it as "bacterial SSU rRNA". It matches the Rfam family "Bacterial small subunit ribosomal RNA", at positions 959 to 1397 of the family's 1533-position model. The record is from RNAcentral.